This 429-nucleotide ribosomal RNA is filed under the name Salmonella enterica subsp. enterica serovar Typhimurium. RNAcentral describes it as "partial 16S ribosomal RNA". It matches the Rfam family "Bacterial small subunit ribosomal RNA", at positions 546 to 974 of the family's 1533-position model. Lineage: Bacteria; Pseudomonadati; Pseudomonadota; Gammaproteobacteria; Enterobacterales; Enterobacteriaceae. RNAcentral also lists the same sequence under 1 other name. The record is from RNAcentral.
CGGAAUUACUGGGCGUAAAGCGCACGCAGGCGGUCUGUCAAGUCGGAUGUGAAAUCCCCGGGCUCAACCUGGGAACUGCAUUCGAAACUGGCAGGCUUGAGUCUUGUAGAGGGGGGUAGAAUUCCAGGUGUAGCGGUGAAAUGCGUAGAGAUCUGGAGGAAUACCGGUGGCGAAGGCGGCCCCCUGGACAAAGACUGACGCUCAGGUGCGAAAGCGUGGGGAGCAAACAGGAUUAGAUACCCUGGUAGUCCACGCCGUAAACGAUGUCUACUUGGAGGUUGUGCCCUUGAGGCGUGGCUUCCGGAGCUAACGCGUUAAGUAGACCGCCUGGGGAGUACGGCCGCAAGGUUAAAACUCAAAUGAAUUGACGGGGGCCCGCACAAGCGGUGGAGCAUGUGGUUUAAUUCGAUGCAACGCGAAGAACCUUAC